This is a non-coding RNA of Schistosoma curassoni, 45 nucleotides long. The record is from Rfam. Lineage: Eukaryota; Metazoa; Platyhelminthes; Trematoda; Strigeidida; Schistosomatidae.
AUCCAGCUGACGAGUCCCAAACAGGACGAAAGGCCUGUCCUGGAU